GACGUGCCUGAUAAAAAGGGUUACCUUGAUAGAGUAAAUAAUGUAAGAUUAAUAAAUUACCUUCA
Molecule: transfer RNA, 65 nt
Filed under: Phyllomimus sp. YH-2018
Lineage: Eukaryota; Metazoa; Arthropoda; Insecta; Orthoptera; Tettigoniidae
Description: partial tRNA-Ile
Source: RNAcentral